Molecule: ribosomal RNA, 450 nt
Filed under: Brucella melitensis
Lineage: Bacteria; Pseudomonadati; Pseudomonadota; Alphaproteobacteria; Hyphomicrobiales; Brucellaceae
Description: partial 16S ribosomal RNA
Rfam family: Bacterial small subunit ribosomal RNA
Source: RNAcentral
CSCGCCGCUGSCGGCAGGCUUAAACAUGCAAGUCGAGCGCCCWAAAAGGGGAGUGGCAGACGGGUGAGUAACGCGUGGGAACGUAAAAAAWSAAYACGGAAUAACUCAGGGAAACUUGUGCUAAUWUARAAWRWGCCCUUCGGGGGAAAGAUUUAUCGGCAAAUGAUCGGCCCGCGUUGGAUUAGCUAGUUGGUGGGGUAAAGGCUCACCAAGGCGACGAUCCAUAGCUGGUCUGAGAGGAUGAUCAGCCACACUGGGMCUGAGACACGGCCCAGACUCCUACGGGAGGCAGCAGYGGGGAAUAUUGGACAUUGGGCGCAAGCCUGAYCCAGCCAUGCCGCGUGAGUGAUGAAGGCCCUAGGSUUGUAAAGCUCUUUCAYCGGUGAAGAUAAUGACGGUAACCGGAGAAGAMGCCCCGGCUAACUUMUGCCAGCAUUUUUUUUUAAUAMC